GACGAACGCUGGCGGCGUGCUUAACACAUGCAAGUCGAACGGAAAGGCCCUGCUUUUGUGGGGUGCUCGAGUGGCGAACGGGUGAGUAACACGUGAGUAACCUGCCCUUGACUUUGGGAUAACUUCAGGAAACUGGGGCUAAUACCGGAUAGGAGCUCCUGCUGCAUGGUGGGGGUUGGAAAGUUUCGGCGGUUGGGGAUGGACUCGCGGCUUAUCAGCUUGUUGGUGGGGUAGUGGCUUACCAAGGCUUUGACGGGUAGCCGGCCUGGGAGGGUGACCGGCCACAUUGGGACUGAGAUACGGCCCAGACUCCUACGGGAGGCAGCAGUGGGGAAUAGUGCACAAUGGGCGGAAGCCUGAUGCAGCAACGCCGCGUGCGGGAUGACGGCCUUCGGGUUGUAAACCGCUUUCGCCUGUGACGAAGCGAGAGUGACGGUAAUGGGUAAAGAAGCACCGGCUAACUACGUG
Molecule: ribosomal RNA, 468 nt
Filed under: uncultured bacterium
Lineage: Bacteria
Description: partial 16S ribosomal RNA
Rfam family: Bacterial small subunit ribosomal RNA
Source: RNAcentral